Molecule: ribosomal RNA, 330 nt
Filed under: uncultured eukaryote
Lineage: Eukaryota
Description: partial 18S ribosomal RNA
Rfam family: Eukaryotic small subunit ribosomal RNA
Source: RNAcentral
CCCUUAGAUGUUCUGGGCUGCACACGUGCUACACUGGCAGGUUCAGCGAGCUUCGUGCCCUGAUCUGAAAGGAAUGGGAAAUCUUUUCAAAACCUGCCGUGCUUGGGAUAGAUGAUUGCAAUUUUUCAUCUUCAACGAGGAAUGCCUAGUAAACGCAAGUCAUCAGCUUGCAUUGAUUACGUCCCUGCCCUUUGUACACACCGCCCGUCGCUCCUACCGAUUGAAUGAUCCGAUGAAUAUCAUGGAUUGAGGAUGCAAGUAGGUUCGCCUAUCUUCAUCUUCGAGAAGUGAAGUAAAUCUUAUCAUUUAGAGGAAGGAGAAGUCGUAACA